UGUAACAACGGUGCAUGCAUGUGGAU
RNAcentral lists this non-coding RNA (26 nucleotides) under Homo sapiens (human). Lineage: Eukaryota; Metazoa; Chordata; Mammalia; Primates; Hominidae. The record is from RNAcentral.